Molecule: ribosomal RNA, 406 nt
Filed under: uncultured bacterium
Lineage: Bacteria
Description: partial 16S ribosomal RNA
Rfam family: Bacterial small subunit ribosomal RNA
Source: RNAcentral
AUUGAACGCUGGCGGCAGGCCUAACACAUGCAAGUCGAGCGAGCGGCGGACGGGUGAGUAAUGUCUGGGAAACUGCCUGCUGGCGGGGGAUAAAUACUGGAAAAGGUCGCUAAUACCUCAUUCCAUCAGAUGUGCCUAGAUGGUAUGAGCUAGUCGGUGGGGUAACGGCUCACCUAGGCGACGAUCCCUAGCUGGUCUGAGAGGAUGACCAGCAACACUGGAACGGAGACGCGGUCCAGACUCCGAAGGGAGGCAGCAGUGGGGAAUCUUGGACAAUGGGCGGUAGCCUGAUGCAGCCAAGCGGCGUGUGUGAAGAAGGCCUUCGGGGUGUAAAGCACUUUCAGUGGGGAGGCGUUACCCGCAGAAGAAGCACCGGCUAACUCCGUGCCAGCCGCCGCGGUAAUUC